CAGUUUUCUCAGUCUCAGGCAUUUCAUUAUAGUAACAGAAAACAAACUAAGACUGAAUGUGAAACCAGCAAGCCCUUGCUUCCCAUCCAACUUCCUUUCCUCACUUCAGUCCUGAUUUCCAUGUUCCUUGAUGCUCACCAAUUCCAUUCUGUCACCACAGCUUGGGCAUCACAGGGAAAGAGGACCAGGUGCAGAAUGAGCAUGAGACUAGCAGCAGUGAAGUCAGAGGGCGACAGUGGUCAUCCUCCCCAUCAUGCCCAUCAGUUUCUCCCUGUAAUGCUGAAUGCUACAACUGCAUUGCCAGCAAGUAACACAACUGGCUGCAGAAAACUUAGCCACUUUUUUUUUUUUUAUAAUAUGUGCCAUGAAGAAAUCCACCUGGUAUGUAAUCACACAGUUGUUGUAAACCACCUUACUGUGAAUGGUUAGGUAUACCUCUGACCCCUGGGAGCAAUUUAACUUUACAAGACAGGGGGCAGUGUGUGUGUGAAUAUAUCCAUUCCCCAUCACAACACAGGAAAGUAGAGAUGCACGUGGAAAAGGGACUGAUUUCUCACUGGCCCAAGUUACCCACUCUCCCACCUCCAUGGAGUCUUCCAGAAAGCUCACAGAAAUUUUAGAAUUUUUGAGCUCCCCACAAGAGGUUCCUGAGAUGAGCCCUCACCCCUCACACCUCCUCAUAGCUCUCAAUUCUACUCUAGACUCCCACUAAAUAUGGGAUGAGAUUUUUAUGCCACAGUGGAGAAGAGAGAAGCACCACUCCACAGUUUGAUACCAACAGAUACUCUGAAAUUUUUCUAAUUCCAUGCAACAGGCACAGCUGAGGGAGCUCCCUAGUUCUCUGGCACAGCACACCAUUCUGGAUCAAAUGCAGUAAACCAAAGACAUAUCUGCUGU
Molecule: long non-coding RNA, 897 nt
Filed under: Marmota monax (woodchuck)
Lineage: Eukaryota; Metazoa; Chordata; Mammalia; Rodentia; Sciuridae
Source: RNAcentral